GGGGAAUAUUGCACAAUGGGUGAAAGCCUGAUGCAGCAACGCCGCGUGAGUGAUGAAGGCCUUCGGGUUGUAAAGCUCUGUCUUCUGGGACGAUAAUGACGGUACCAGAGGAGGAAGCCACGGCUAACUACGUGCCAGCAGCCGCGGUAAUACGUAGGUGGCAAGCGUUGUCCGGAUUUACUGGGCGUAAAGGAUGCGUAGGCGGAUACUUAAGUCAGAUGUGAAAAUCCCGGGCGUAACUUGGGAACUGCAUUUGAAACUGGGUAUCUAGAGUGCGGGAGAGGAAAGUGGAAUUCCUAGUGUAGCGGUGAAAUGCGUAGAGAUUAGGAAGAACACAAGUGGCGAAGGCGACUUUCUGGACCGUAACUGACGCUGAGGCAUGAAAGCGUGGGGAGCAAAC
This 400-nucleotide ribosomal RNA is filed under the name uncultured bacterium. RNAcentral's name for it is "bacterial SSU rRNA". It matches the Rfam family "Bacterial small subunit ribosomal RNA", at positions 356 to 773 of the family's 1533-position model. The record is from RNAcentral.